GACGAACGCUGGCGGCGUGCUUAACACAUGCAAGUCGAACGGUGACGAGGAGCUUGCUCCUCUGAUCAGUGGCGAACGGGUGAGUAACACGUGAGCAACCUGCCCCAGACUCUGGGAUAACAGUUGGAAACAGCUGCUAAUACCGGAUACGAGACGGAGAGGCAUCUCUACCGUCUGGAAAGUUUUUCGGUCUGGGAUGGACUCGCGGCCUAUCAGCUAGUUGGUGAGGUAAUGGCUCACCAAGGCGACGACGGGUAGCCGGCCUGAGAGGGCGACCGGCCACACUGGGACUGAGACACGGCCCAGACUCCUACGGGAGGCAGCAGUGGGGAAUAUUGCACAAUGGGCGAAAGCCUGAUGCAGCGACGCCGCGUGAGGGAUGAAGGCCUCGGUUGUAACCGUCUUUCAGCAGGAGAAGCGAAAGUGACGGUACCUGCAGAAGAAGC
Molecule: ribosomal RNA, 446 nt
Filed under: uncultured bacterium
Lineage: Bacteria
Description: bacterial SSU rRNA
Rfam family: Bacterial small subunit ribosomal RNA
Source: RNAcentral